This 253-nucleotide ribosomal RNA is filed under the name uncultured bacterium. RNAcentral's name for it is "partial 16S ribosomal RNA". It matches the Rfam family "Bacterial small subunit ribosomal RNA", at positions 524 to 776 of the family's 1533-position model. The record is from RNAcentral.
UACGGAGGGUGCGAGCGUUGUCCGGAUUUAUUGGGUUUAAAGGGUGCGUAGGCGGCCCGUUAAGUCCGGGGUGAAAGCCCGCUGCUCAACAGCGGAACUGCCCUAGAUACUGACGGGCUUGAGUACAGACGAGGUUGGCGGAAUGGACUGAGUAGCGGUGAAAUGCAUAGAUACAGUCCAGAACCCCGAUUGCGAAGGCAGCUGACUAGGCUGUUACUGACGCUGAGGCACGAAAGCGUGGGGAGCGAACAGG